AUUCGUCCCAAACAUAUGAAGCACUUAAAGAAAAAGUUCACCCAAAAAGUAAAAUGCUCUCAUCAGAAGAUUUUUAGAAGAAUAUCUCAGCUCUGCUGGUCCAUACAAUGUGAGUGAAUGGUGGCCAGAACUUUGAAUCUCCAAAAGCACAUAAAGUAAAAGUAGUCCAUAUGACUCCAGUGGUUAAAUCCAUGUCUUCAUGGGCAAUAUGAUAGGUCUGGGUGAGAAACAGAUCGAUAUUUAAGUCCUUUUUUACUAUAAAUUCUCCUCUCUGCACAGUAGGUGGCAAUAUGCACAGAGUACAAAUCACCAAAUAUAAAAGAAGAAGAACUCAUAGGAGAGAAGAGAGCACUUAGGAGAGCUGGUGAAAGUGAACAUUUAUAGUAAAAAAAGGACAACUACCAUAUCACUUCUGAAGACAUGGAUUUAACCACUGGAGUCUUAUGGAUUACUUUUAUGUUGCCUGUAUGUGCUUUUUGGAGCUUCAAAGUUCUGGCCACCGUUCACUUGCAAUGAAUGGACCAAAAGAGCUGAGAUACUCUUCUAAAAAUCUUCCUUUUUGUUCUGUAGAAGAACAAAUUCAUACACAUCUGGCAUGGCUGAUGAGAGUAAAUGAUGAGAGAAUUUUCAUUUUGGGUGAACUUUUACUUUAACAAAGGAUGAAGACUUUUUAUGGUGCUCUGGAAAAAGACUGUUUUUCUGAAUCCAAAUUAGUGUAACCUGGAUCAGUUAAAGGAAAUCUGGUCACCUUACUUCAGGAUGUCGAUAAUCUCUCUCUCAUACUCAGCUCGAAAACUGAAUUUCUCUCUACUAGAAUCGCCAUCAAGAUCUGCACCUUUCACAGCGGGUGGAUCAGAGUUGUCUUCAACCCCUGUGGUGCUCCAGGAGUCACGGAAUACUACAUUCACCGCUGAAUGGCAGUGUGUGGAAUUUCUCUCCUGUGGGACAGCGGGCGGGCGAUACAUCUUCGCCGUUUUCACCGCUUCACAAUGAACUAAUUAUUUUGUGGCCUGUGGGCUUCAACGGAAAAUGGCAUUUUGCAAAUGUUUCAACAAGCACAUGAAAACCCUCUGUCUGGCGGGGACGAGUGAUGUUUUACGUACAGCGGCACAUGUUGAGGCUAAUUGUGUUCACUGUGAAUUCAUGAAUUUCAAAAGACGCUUGCUCUCGUCUCAUUUUUCAUUCUGAACGCUGACGCCAUCCCCGUCUCCUCCCGCUAUACUCCUUCUGCGGCUUCCGAGGAACUGCACGAGAGAGGCACGUGAGGACAGGGAAUAGAGCAUGGAGAUUUGAAGAGCAUUUAUCGCCAGCUCGUGCCUUACAUUUCUCCUCUUCUCUACAUCAAGUGUCUUCGACCGUUCUACAAAAGCGCUGUGAUUGCCUGAGCAGAGCCCACGCUGACACAGUGCUCGCCGAGUUUGAUUGUGUUUUUGGUGGGCAUAUAAAAAACUCGAAACGCUUUUCUCUCCGCUUGCUUUAGUUCUAAAAGCCGGUUCCCUCUCCUCCCGCCAUACUCCUGCGGCUCCUGAGGGACCACUCAAGGGAGUCGCAUGAGGACAGGAUAUAGAACACGGAGAACUUGAGUAUGUUUUGUCACCGGCUUGCACCUUGCGUUUCUCUUCUCCAUGUAAAGCGGCUUCACCUGCCCAGCACGGCCAUGAUGUGCGGUGCGCACGAUGCGAUCACGUUCGGCUGAGUUUAUGAUUAGAGGGGUGCUAUGUCACUAACAUUAUCCCUGCCUGGCACACAGCGCUCGUUGAGAUUGAUCGUGUUAUUGCGAGCGCGUAAUACUCAAAUGCUUUGCUCUCGACCUGCUUCUGAGGAAGCUGACGCCGUCCCUCAACUUCCUGUAUCUAGCAAGGAUGGGACACAGAGCACUGAGAAUUUGAGGGUGAUUUUCUCCAGCUUGAGCCUGCGUCCCUCCUCUUCUCCAUAUCCAGCGGCCUCACCUGUUCCAUGGCAAUUGAUGGCUCACUCCGGUACGCUGCAAUAGUUCAUGGUGGUUUAUGUCAGGGAUACUGUGUCUCUGGGCUACAUUAGUGGACAUGUACGUGCAAAGUUGAGACUUUUACCAUAAUUUCUCCCAGUGGGUGGGAAAACGGUAUGAAACAGCGAUGCCUGAAGCUAAAAAAAAAAAAAAACAGUGUUCACCGUGUUGGCGCGCCUCCAUGUUUUGCCGCCGGUGCCAUUCUUCCAGAGAUGCACGAACAGCUUAUUAUGUCUUGAUGUUCUCCCUAUUCAGUGAGAGUUCAAGUCUCUGGCACUGUCACCGUGCUGUGCUCAGCCGGGAACGGAGUGUGUCAUUUCCUCUGUGAUGCAGGAUGGUUCACCCUGUUUAUACUAUGGUUGGCAACACACCAGGAGACGGUCUAUAUUGGUACAGAGUUUUAGGUGUCUCAAUGUCACCUAAUAGCCAUCUCGCUUUCCCCGCCGCUGCAAGCUGGGAACGAGUUAGUACUUUGACACAAGUAAUUUCAAUACUUGUUUGUACUGCUGUUGACACUGUGCCGCAACGCAGAUAUUUUAGGCGCCUCAAUAUCGCCUAAUAGCCCUCUCACUUUCCCUGCUGUCGUGAGCCGGAAAUUAGGUUCAGCUACGUGCUCAAGCAUGACUACGUACUACUAUUCGCAAGGCUGCCACUUCGUUUCAAAGCUGUUAUGUCCUCCACCGUAAUGGUGCAGGAUGCGCCAAUUCUCUGCUCAGAAAUAUUAAAUCUCCUCACAAAAGACACGAUACAGGUGGCAUCAGCAGACGAUGCCCACAGCAGAUUCCACAGCCGCUAUUUUUUAGUUGCCAAAAAGGAUGGAUGAUUAUGUCCCAUUUUGGAUCUGAGAUGCUUGAACCGAGCACUCGCAAGGUUUCCAUUCAAAAUGACUGCUCAGAAACAAAUUCUGUCUAAUGUUUGUCCUAUGGACUGGUUUGUAUUGAUCGACCUGAGAGAUGCUUACUUUCCCGUACACUUAGCCCCUCAUCACAGGCCUUCCUGAGAUUCGCCUUUGAGGGGACUACUUACCACUUCAAAGUCCUGCCUUUCGACUUAUCCCUGGCUCGUCGCACAUUCACGAAAUGUGUCAAUGCUUCGCUGAGGCUGAGCGGCAUUCACGUUAUGAAUUACCUUGACGACUGGUUGCUCUUAGCACAGACGGGAGACGAACUGCUCCAGCACCACCAGGUUGAUAACAUCCUUGGCAUCGCUGUCCUCCUUGGCCAGCACCCACUGCCAGCUGGCGUCAUGGAGCUGCUGGGUGAAGGCAAACGGGCGGCUGACCUCGCUCAGCAUUAAGGAGCGGAAACACUGGCGGUGUUCUUCUGGGCUGCGGCCGACCCAUUGCAAGAUGGGCUUCUUCAGCACCAAGUAGUCCAGGAGGUUGGCGACCGGAAGCUGUUGUGCCGUGAUCUGGGCUUCCCCGGUCAGCAGUGGCAGAAGAUAGACUGCCCACUGUUUCGGCAGCUAUUUCAGAGAUUUGGCUGUGUGCUCAAAGAACUCAAGCUAGGCCUCCGGAUCAUCUUGAGGCCCCAUCUUGCUGAGCAACACAUGGGGGUGCACUGCUGCUGCUGCUUCUGAGGUACUAAGCUCCAUAGCACCCGCCGAUCCUCCUCCUAGGCCCGAAGGAGUACCUCAAAGCACUGUUGCUGCUCUCUCCGAAGCUCCAUGAGGGCUUGGCGUUGGCCCUGGUGGAUGCUGGCAAGGGACCUGAAGACUUCCUCCAGCGGCGACGAUUCCAUGACAGCGUAUCCUUCCUAUAUUCCCCGGUUUCGGCACCAGUGUAACAGAUUCGAGGAUGAGGAAGCGGGAGACAGCGAAUCCAACUCAAAGGUUAAUUUAUUUACAUGCAAACACGUUCGCUUUACUGUGUAAUGGUGAAGCUUAAGACAUACACUCAAAUACAAAUGAUGGCUGCACUGACACACAUGCAGGCUCGGCUCUAUCUCUCACUCUGAGGUCUGGCCCCUUUUAUUUCCCCUGUCUCUCACUGUGAACAAAGAAAAAGCAAUUACCAGCAAUUCAUCUUAGGUGAAAACCCUUACCGCAUCCUCUCCCCAGACGAAUGCUCAACCACACCCUCGCCUCCACAGUAGUCAUUUGCAUAAUUUAUUCAAACUGCAGGGGGCUGAAGUUUUGCUUGCUGAAUAAUGCUCAUGCCUGAUAAAAAUGCAGAAAAUAAGCCAUGAAAAAUAUUACUUGAGUUUUUGAGGUUUAUUUUGUUUAAAGGAUUGCAGAAUCAGCGCUUGUCAAAGCAUAGGGCUUUUCACCUUUUCUCAAGAAUAAUCUGGGGAAGGAAUUAAAACACUGCAGAUAUAAAGAUGCAACAAACUCACUUAGAGUGAAAAUAUGAGCAGUUAAUCUGCAAAAUAUCUGCAAAGUUCUACACUUUAAGAGAUAUGUUUAUUUUGUUUUACAUGUAUGUAUAUUUGUUUAUAUUUAUAUAUGUACAUAUUCUGGCCAAUUUUUUCAUUGAUUUUUUUAAAUAAACAUUUACAGAUAGUAAUUGAUAUGAAAUUUUAAGCAUUGUCAUCAGUGUCCUGUUGUGUGACACUUUCUUCAUCUAACUAUUUUAUACAAUAUUUUAUGAUCUUGUACAGCUAUAUAUACAUAUAUAAUAUAUUAUUAUUAUACUUUUUGUUUCCACAACCUCAUAUUAACUAAGACAAUAGUUUAUUUGCACUUCUUGAAAAAAGUUGAAAGGUGAUAAAGAUCUUUAAAACUUUGAAGAAAUGCUGACUUGUCACAGCACCUAAAAUACACACUUUCCCUUUUACUAUCAUGUACAUUUUGUCAUGGCUCCGGUGAGUUAGCCGGUUUAUUCUGUUGUUUUGUUUUCCUCUCUCCCUCAUGUCUCGCAGGUGGAGCCGGUAUGCAUGAUCAGUGUUUUCAUGGGAACGUUGAUCAUUCUGGGGGAAGCACUGAUCAUGCCACUGAUUAAUGUGUGAGCUACACCUGUUCCACUCUGAUUGCACUAACUACUUAAUCCUUGUGUGCCCUCACCAUCUUAGAUUAUUGCUUGUUCUGUCAAGUGGCUAACCUUGCUCUCUUUGUCUAGUUGGUGUUGUCUCGUGUAUCUGUUGGUUGUCUGUCUCUGCCCGCAUGUUGGGAAGUGUGGUUACCUUCCAGUUUGCCAUAUGCCUGUCCUCCCCACCCAUGAAUCGCCAGUGGAGGAUUCUUCGUCCCUGCCCGCGUGUUGGGAAUAUGACUGCUUUCCUUCAUCCAGGCUUUGCCCUCUGCACCACGCUUCAACGGACUCUUCCUUCGGAUCUGCUCCUGACUUCCACAAUACAUACACCUGUCUACGAACACACUCAUCCUUUGCCUGCUGCGUGGCCACAACACCCACACAGACUUCUUCUUCGCCUCCUGCUACUGCAGCCACUGCUGGGAUUUCUAUUAAUCUCCAUUACAGUUUAUGUUGACAUUUGUUGUUAAUAAAUCCUUUAAACUGUUCUUCUGCUAUUGGGUCAUUGUCUCACUCACUCUGACACAUUUUAACCUAAAAUCUGUAUGUUGGGAAAAAGUUUUUGGACAUAUUAUUUGGCUGAGCUAUAAAGUGCUUAUUUUAGUGCUUUCUCUAGAAAAUCCACUCAUCACAUUUACAGUGGUUUUAUGUUUUAAAGUUAUGUCAGUUUUUGCACUGGUGGGGCCCAUUGUCAUGACUAGCAGUCAAUAAAAAUGUCUUUUUUUUUUCAACACCAAAAUUUUAAAUUGAGCCAGAAAAUGAAAUCAGUGAGCUGGUGUGGUGUGUUACGGGCUGGGUUUGGUGGGCCACUCUGGGCCAGAAAGUCCAGAGCCACUUUUUAGACCCAGUCCGCCCCAGGUGGAGUGUAAUGGUAGCCAGAUGGUACGUGAUGUGCAGUGUGUGUAAACCUCAAUCCCCUGGCAUCAAGAGAUGCACUAGCAACUGACACUAGAGACUUUAGCCUCAUUGAUAGCAUGCCCACUUCCCAUGCUGGAGACCCCAGUUCAAAUCCUGCUUGGAGCAGGUUGAGCAAGACCAGUUACAGAAGCACCAAGUCACACCCACUGAUGAUGUGGAUCAACAAUAGUAAAAUGUUAAUAGGUAUGAAGUUUUCCUGAAAGUUCACACUGGCAAGCUGUUUCAAACCACUGCUCCAAACUUCAAAACACCUUCUUUUUGACCGAAUUUUGUCCGAAAUGACAUCAUCCCUGAUAUUUCUUUGAUUUAGCUAGAAGUAAAGACUAUUGUCUAUUUAUAAAACUAUACUUAUAAAAAUACACUUCUAUUUAAAGACCCUAUGAAAUUGCUUGAUGUGGCAGCAGGGGCGUGGUCAAGUAUCCGUCCAGAGAGAGAGAAAGCGGUAAGGGCGCUUGCACCUGAGCUAGAUUAUGUGUAAAACCUGUCUCUAAUUCUAGUGAGCAUGGGGAGAGUGGCACAUAAGUAACCACGCCACCAGCAGAGAUAGAGAGAAAGUCUGGCGCAAGGAAGGCCAUGGUGCUCCUGAAGCUGUUGCAUUUAAUCUGUUGUGUUUUGUGAAGCUAAUGUGUUUAAAAGUCUACAUGCCUGUGAACCUGAUGAGUUUGUAAAGUUGUGAAGCAUUGAAGUGGCCGAUUAAAAGUCUUACCUGAGCUUGGAAAACACGCUUCCCUGUGUUCUUCUGUGAAGCUGUGUUACACUGGUGCCGAAACCCGGGAAUCAAGAUCAAAGAUGGUAAGCCUCAUGGAGUCUUCACCAUUGGCCGAGGUCCUCAAGUCCCUCGCCGGUCUACACCACUCCCACCAACAGGCCCUGCUUGAGCUCUGACAGGACCAAGAUCGUUGAUUCCAUAAGAUCCUCAGAGCUCAGGCAGAGGAACGGCAGGCCAUCCGGAGCCUCCUAAGUCAGGGGAAAGCCCCGGCUGUGACCCUGGACAACAGUAACCCCAUGCCCCCGCACAUCAUGAAGAUGGGGGCAGAGGAUGACCCAGAAGCCUUCCUGGACCUUUUUGAGCAGACUGCUGAGAUCUGGGGCUGGCUGCAAGCUCAAUGGGUGGCCCGGCUUGUUCCUUUGUUGUCCGGGGAGCCCCAACUCGCAGCCCAACAACUACCGGCAGUUAGUCUCCUGGACUACAGUGUCCUAAGGAAGUCCAUACUGCAACGGGUUGGCAGAAGUCCAGAACAGUACAGGCAGCUCUUCCGGUCCAUGGAAUUGGAAAAGUCCGGCCGCCUGUUUGCCUUCUGCCAACGACUUCGAGGCACCUGCCGAAAAUGCUGCUGGCGGGGGACCGCGGUGUCGAGGGAAUUUUCGACCAGGUGGCGCUGGAGCAGCUGAUCCGUCGACUGCCAGAGAGGAUGGCAGAAUGGGUCCAGUGUCACCGCCCGGCAUCACUGAAGGAAGCAGUCCAAUUGGCGGAGGACCAGAUGACGGCAUACCCGAGGGUGGAAGAGCCCUCCCACUCUCUCUCCACUCCCUCUAUGUUUUCCCCAUUCUCUUCCCCCUCCCCUCAUCUCUCUCUCAUUCUGCUCUCU
Myxocyprinus asiaticus (Chinese sucker) is the source of this 7459-nucleotide long non-coding RNA. RefSeq lists it as uncharacterized. The record is from RefSeq and is a predicted model, not a curated record. NCBI's taxonomy places the organism in Eukaryota, Metazoa, Chordata, Actinopteri, Cypriniformes, Catostomidae. The transcript is spliced from 3 exons.